AGGUUGUGGUGUGGGCAUUCUUUAUGCAGGUUCUCGAACCUAUUCCAUGCUUCCUUGAACGUCUCAUCAUGUUCUUGUUGGAAGGUAGCAAGUUUAUAUCUGAUUUC
Small nucleolar RNA from Beta vulgaris subsp. vulgaris (sugar beet), 107 nucleotides. Lineage: Eukaryota; Viridiplantae; Streptophyta; Magnoliopsida; Caryophyllales; Amaranthaceae. The record is from RefSeq and is a predicted model, not a curated record.